AGCGGCGAACGGGUGAGUAACACGUGAGCAAUCUGCCCUUCUCUUUGGAAUAACCAUUGGAAACGAUGGCUAAUGCCGAAUAUGACCUCCCUUCGCAUGUUGGGAGGUGGAAAGCUCCGGCGGAGAUGGAUGAGCUCGCGGCCUAUCAGCUUGUUGGUGAGGUAAUGGCUCACCAAGGCAUUGACGGGUAGCCGGCCUGAGAGGGUGACCGGCCACACUGGGACUGAGACACGGCCCAGACUCCUACGGGAGGCAGCAGUGGGGAAUAUUGGACAAUGGGCGAAAGCCUGAUCCAGCAACGCCGCGUGAGGGAUGACGGCCUUCGGGUUGUAAACCUCUUUCAGCAGGGACGAAGCGAGAGUGACGGUACCUGCAGAAGAAGGACCGGCCAACUACGUGCCAGCAGCCGCGGUAAUACGUAGGGUCCGAGCGUUGUCCGGAAUUAUUGGGCGUAAAGGGCUCGUAGGCGGUUUGUCGCGUCGGGAGUGAAAACUCAGGGCUCAACCCUGAGCGUGCUUUCGAUACGGGCAGACUAGAGGUAUGCAGGGGAGAACGGAAUUCCUGGUGUAGCGGUGGAAUGCGCAGAUAUCAGGAGGAACACCGGUGGCGAAGGCGGUUCUCUGGGCAUUACCUGACGCUGAGGAGCGAAAGCAUGGGGAGCGAACAGGAUUAGAUACCCUGGUAGUCCAUGCCGUAAACGUUGGGCGCUAGGUGUGGGGACCUUCCACGGUUUCCGUGCCGCAGCUAACGCAUUAAGCGCCCCGCCUGGGGAGUACGGCCGCAAGGCUAAAACUCAAAGGAAUUGACGGGGGCCCGCACAAGCGGCGGANCAUGCUGAUUAAUUCGAUGCAACGCGAAGAACCUUACCUGGGUUUGACAUA
This 881-nucleotide ribosomal RNA is filed under the name Aeromicrobium sp. CNRA05. Its description in RNAcentral is "bacterial SSU rRNA". It matches the Rfam family "Bacterial small subunit ribosomal RNA", at positions 94 to 988 of the family's 1533-position model. The record is from RNAcentral. RNAcentral also lists the same sequence under 1 other name. Lineage: Bacteria; Bacillati; Actinomycetota; Actinomycetes; Propionibacteriales; Nocardioidaceae.